Cyprinus carpio carpio is the source of this 484-nucleotide long non-coding RNA. NCBI's taxonomy places the organism in Eukaryota, Metazoa, Chordata, Actinopteri, Cypriniformes, Cyprinidae. The record is from Ensembl.
GAUGAAUUUGAUGCUGUGUUAGAUCGACACCUGAUUCUUAAUGGGAGAACCUCUGAUUUAGAAGACACCAUACAAAAAGGGUAAAGCUGUAAGGUGCAAUGAAAGAGAUGAAAAGGGUUUAUGAUCCAACUGGAGCCAAAUGUAGAGAGCAGAUCAUCACAGAGACCCAAAAUACCUUAUGCACAGGUCACUGAAAUGAAAUAUGAAGACUUGGAUGGUUGAAACACAUUCUCUUCUCGUUAAUGACUUUGAGCCCUGAGGCCUCAAACAGGAGCCUGCAGACCUUCGGAUUGAUCCCCUCCUGUCUCCUUCAGAACAUUUUAACCACACCGAAGAAAGAAAAUUACAUGGCUUUCGGCAACAUGGUGGUUUUAUUCUGUGGGGCUGUGUUUCAUAAGAGAAGCUUGGCUGUAUGUGAGAGACACCCAGCAGAGAACAGAAGAACAGCCAGAGCACCUCUUAAAAAGUCACACUUUCAUGUUCU